UAGAAAUGGGGGCUCCUUUGAGGACAAAGAAAGCAUUUUAGAUCGUCUCUUUGUUCAUUGAAGCAGUCAUCCUUUGGUGUGAAGGGAGCUCCAAAUUCUU
Non-coding RNA from Amborella trichopoda, 100 nucleotides. The record is from Rfam. Lineage: Eukaryota; Viridiplantae; Streptophyta; Magnoliopsida; Amborellales; Amborellaceae.